UUGUAUGGAAAACAAGCAUGGUACUGUGAAAAAAAUCCUUCUCUCACCCUACAGAUACCUGUGCCGAGAGCUUGGGAGGCAUUUCCGUAGGUUCACUGUCAAGUGACUGUUACAGUCCCCCUUCACUGAGAAGCAAAGCUAAAGUAUUGAAGGAGAAAUACACCUUGGUCUAGGCUUAACAUGGAUGUCACUUGCCUGUUUCUAGUCUGACUUGAGGAGGGGAUGCGGUGAAAGCAAAAGAUAACCAGACUACAACCCACAGCUCCGGAGAAGCUAGCUAGCAAGGAGGACCUUAAGAAGGACACAUGGAUCACCUUUCCCAAUAUUGAGAGAAAUUUGUCUCAGUUGACUGAUUUGCCACAUUAUUGAUUACUCCAAUUUUUGAUAAUGAAUUAUCUCAGGGAGUCUAUUCACCUAAAGGCAAGAGCUGUCAAUAUAGUUUUAUUAAAGUGUGUCCACCUUUGUUUGUCUUUGCAAUAUUUAAAAUAGAAAUUUGUCCAUAGUGUUAUAUUCAGAUUUCUCCCCCUGAGUUAAGACCACUUUGACAGAGGUUUCAUGUUUGUCUCUUUCCUUCUACUUUCUCCUGCCCACAGGCAGCAGUGUUUUUAAGUAUCUAAAUUCCUAGUUUUCAGCAACUAGUGCUCAUGAUUUGGGUAAAAGUUGACAAAACAUGCUCAGGUGAUUAGUUUUGCCUUUACUGUAGGGCUGGGAAGAAACCAGGGCAUCACAAUUGCCAUGCAAGAUUCCACUGGGCUGCAGCCAGAGCCACAGCCCUUUCCUUUUAUCUAGUCUGACUUUUUUUCUUAGACUGUUACAUUAUUUCAUGUAAAUUGACAAAUAGAGAUGAAUAAAACAAGAGUGUGCUGAAAGGAGGGGUAAUCAAGUCAUCUACAAAGUGACCAGUGGGUGAUUAUUUUGGAGACUCCGUUUCUUUUCUGCCUUUCCUUCAUUUUAGAUAAUGAGCUGUUGAGGAGUGGACUUGUGUUUUUCCUGUUCAUCAAACCAAGCAGUGAAUACAAAGACAUAAAAAACAGAUUUUUGAAGUUUGAAUGCCCAUCUGUCUUAGUUGGCAUAGUCAAUAAAUAUCUGCCAGAUGCUGUACUAAUCCUCUUUUUAGCUUUUCUGACAGUUUCAGUUACUUGGACAAGAACCAUGGAACAAAUGAAGUAAGGGGUACAUCUAAGAAGAUGCAAGCAAGGAUAUGUCCAAGACAAGCAACUUUAAAGAGAGGGCAUAUAAAACCCAGAAAAAACAUUGCCUCCAAUAGACAUCUAAUUGUUAGAUGGAAGUAUUUCUGUCUAGCCCUAAUUGUCUAAAUAUUUUAUAUAGUACUUUUUAUGUUGUAGAUAUUAAAGGUUGGAAUUAAUGCUCUGGUCAUGCAAAGUCAUAUAUUUUUUGAGGUUACAGUAUAAUUACAUCAUUUAUCUUUUCCUUUAUCUCUUCCCUUUCCUCCCUCAGACCUCUCAUAUACUCCUCCUGCUGCUUUUCAAAUUUAUGGUUUUUCAUUUAUUAAUUGUUAUUAUAUAUAUAUGCAUAUAUGUAUGUAUGUAAUUUGUUCAGUCUGUAUAAUUUUACAUGCAUAUAUGUUCUCAAGUCUGACUAUUGGGCAUGCAUGACCAAUUGGUAUGUUCUUCCAUGAAGAAUGCUAUCUCUUCCACUCUCAGCAUUCCUUAGCUGACUUUAGUUAUUUAUGUAAGGUUGAGGUCUCCUGGGCCUUCCCCAUUCACUUUGGGAUAUCUAUUGGUGUUCUUAUUCAGCUUAUGUUAGACAGUCAUGUUGCUGAGACUUUGUGAGUGUAUUUUCUGAAAUAACCAGGAGACACAAUCUCACAACAAACUCCAUGAUCUUAUGGCUCUUAUAAUCUUUCUGUCCCCUUUUCUACAGUAUUCUCUGAGCCCAUCAUGUGAGAAGACUUUGUGUAUACAGAUACACACACACACACACACACACAUUGAGAUUAGGCACCACAACUCUGUAUUUUGACAACUUGUCUACAAAAUAUUAUGCAGGUAAUUGUGUGUAUAAAUACACAUAUAUAAUUUCAAUAAACUUUUCUCAUCUGACUGGCAAUACUCUCAACAAGAGCCAAAGACUAUUUAACAAAAUCUCCCAAAACAGACACAAGAAGCCCUCUUUUGAGUUGAUGCUCAGGGGCUGCCCUAGAGACUCUAAAAACUUAUAGCCCAUUGCAAUUGUGCUUGCUUUCCCCCAAGAAGUGGAAAUCCCUAUUGCUGAAGGCAUCAUGCACUUCAGAAACAGGGCUAAAUACUAUUGAACUGGGACUGACAUGAACACUUCCUCCUUGUGGACUAACUUUCAUGACACCAGAAGGUAUCAUGCCAGCUUCUAAAUGAGGGAAGUAAACGCCAGUCCUACUGAGCCAUGACACCAAUGAACCACAAUGACCAACAUGGCAAAAAUGAUUCUAAGAGUGCAGCAGUGAUACACAUACCUUGGGGGUAACGAACAGCUCUCUAUUUAAACCUAAGACCUGCUCAACAAGAAGAAAGUCAUGACUGGUACUAGAAACCUAGACAACUACUUAGUGCUAGUGCAAUCAUCUUAGAGUAGAGCCUCCAACCACCACUUUACUAAACCAUCAUAAUCCCUAACAACAAUCUAAAUAUUUGUCCUUAUGCCCAAAGAUAGGUUUAGUACUCACUCCUCAUCAAAGAAACUUCUCUUUCAAUCAGACAGAGAUCAUUACAUCAAAGUCAAAUUUUUAUCAAAGCAUAAUUAUACUUAAAUAUCAAACUUGUCACUGGUGUCCAAGAGUAACAAUAUGAUUCAUAACUUAAAGCCCUACUUAUCAUGCUAAAUCCCAAUCACUGGGUCUCUAUUUUAUAAACUUGCAAUUGUUGGGUUCAGAAGCAUUUUGACUUCUUCCCUAGCUUUGUAAAAGAACAUCUUUAGGAUCAACAAGUGGUCUCUAUCUUAACAUAAAAGGAGUGGGGGACAAGUGUUGAUCUACCUCUUCAUCUCUUAGAUUUCUUUAGGGGAACUGCAAUUUUGUUCUUCCUGUUACCAUUUGUGUUUGCCUUCUUGUAUGUUCUGAGAGCAGGGGUAUGGUAGCACAUGUCGGUGUGGUGAUAUUUUAUUUGUGCUCUAAUAAAUAAAGCUUGCACAGAGAUCAGAGGAAAAAGCCAGUCACUAUAUUAAACAUAGUGGACAAGCAGUGGUAGUGCACACCCUUAAUCCCAGCAUUCAGGAGGCAGAGAUUCAUCUUGAUCUCUGUGAGUUCAAGGCUACACUGGGAACAGAGCCAGGUAUGGUGGCACAAGCCUUUAAUUCCCAGCACUUCUUAACCAUAGAGGUCUAGAGGUUUGUGUUCUUGUAUCACAGGAAGUGAUAGAGCUGGAUAGUAAGAGGAAGUGUUGUAGCUGGGCAGAGAGAGGAAGUGAGAUGGCAAGGACAGAAAGGAUAUAGGCAUGAGUAUACAGGAAGUAGCCCUCUGUGACGGCUGAGAAGUUGGUGAGUUGAGGUUGGCUAUGGUUUGUCCUAUUCCUCUGAUCUUUCAGUUUUCACCCCAAUAUCUGGCUCCAGGUUUUUUCUUAGUAAGACCUUUUAAGAUUCGUCUUACAUGCUGGCAAAAAAAGUAGCUUCACUUCUUUGAGAGCAUGCUUCAGAAGCUAGCAAGUACUUACCUUUUGAUUUCACCAAGAAUAAUCAUUAUUUCAAAGUUCCUCUGUUAUACAAAUAAUGGUAUAUAUUUGUGUCUUAAUUAGGGUUUCUAUUUCUGUGAAGAGACACCAUGACCAAAGUAACUCCUAUAAAGGAAAAUAUUUAAUUGGGGUGAUUCACUUACAAUUCAGAGGUUCCGUCCAUUAUCGUCAUGACAGGGAGCAUGGGGUCAUGCAGGAAGACGUGGUGCUGGAGAUAUAGGUAGGGGUCUACAUGUAGGCCACAGGAAGUUGACUGAGAAACUAGGAAACCUCAAAGCUCACCCCCACAGUAACAAACUUCCUCCAACAAAGCCACAUCUCCUAAUAGUUCCACUCUCUAUGAGAUUAUGAGGGCCAGUUACAUUGAAACUGCUACAUUCUACUCCCUGGCCCCUAAAGUUUGUAACAAUGUCAUAAUUCAAGAUUCAUUUAGUCCAACUUUAAAAGUCCCCAUAGUCUAUCACAGUCUCAACAAUGAUUUAAAGUCCAAAACUUCAAGUCUCUUCUGAGAUUCAUGCAAUCUCUUAACAUAAUCACCUGUAAAAAUGAAAACCAAAAAGCAGAUCACAUAUUUCCAACAUGUAAUGGCACAGGAUUAUAUAUUACCAUUCCAAAACACAGGGAAGGGAUCAUAGUGAGGAAAUACUGGACCAAGGCAAGACCGAAAACUGCUGGGUAAACUGCAAACUUUGCAUCUCCAUGUCUGAUGCCAAAAUGCUCUUCAGAUCUCCAACUCUGUUCAGCUUUGUUAACUGCAACACACUUCUUUCUCUCAGGCUAGUUCUACUAUCUGUUAACAGCUUUCCUUGGCAGGUAUCCCAUGAGUCUGGCAUCUCUAACACCUUGGGUUCUCCAAGGCAAUCCAGAAUCAAAUUCUCAGCUUCAUGCAAUGGCCCGUCUACUGGGCCUCCAUUCAGGGACACCACUGACACAUGCCUGGCCUCAGUGGCUUUCUAUAGGCAUGGAGGCAAAUUCUAUUAUCUAUUUCUUUUAUCCUUAACUCUAAAGCCAGAAUCAUGUGCACAAUGCUGGCAAGUUCUGCUGCUUACUGUGGCUGGAACAUGGCCCCCUCUUUCAAUUACAUCUUUACCAGCUUUCUGUCUUUCACUGCCUAAGCUUGGCUGUCCUGAAAUUUUCUCUGUAGACCAGGCUGGCCUCAAACUCAGAGAUCCACCUGCCACUGCCUUCUGAGUUCUAAGAUUAAAGGUGUGCCCCCCACACCCAGAUCUAAGCUUUUCUUUAAUUCCUUUUCACAAGUUGGAAAAUUAGCUGGGUAGUAUCUUGCCUUGAGGUCAGCACUCCCUACAUUCCAUUCUUUAAUCUUUUUAUCUCACCAGCUUUGUCCAGCUGGUUUAACACAGGAUUUAACUCCUUUCCACUUCCUGGUGUUCUUUUUCUCCUCAAUAUUUACUUUUUGUAAUUUACCUUGCUCACCUUGCUCCUUUUCAUUAUAAAUAUUUAUAAGCAUUAACACUAGUAGCCACAUGACAGAGUCUAUACUAGGCUGCUUUGAGAUUUUCUCUGCCAAUGGAAUAAAUCAUAAAUUCUUUACUUUAACUCCAGGCAAAUUGUUUGGGUAAGGGCAAAAGGCAGCCACUUUCUUCACCAAGAUAUCACAAGAAUGAUCUCUAGGCAACAUAUUAAAAUUCUACUCCUCUGAAACCUCUUGAAUGAGCCCCAGUUUGGUUCAAAUAAACCUUAGCACCUCUGUCUUCCAUGAUUCUAUUAGUAUGGCCCAUUAAGCACUGUUUAAAGCAUCUUACUACUUUCCUAAACCAAAGUACCGAAGUCUAAAUUCCUCCAAACAAAAGUAUGGUCAGACCUAUCACAGCAAUACUGCAUUCCUGGUACCAACUUCUGUCUUAGGUAGGGUUUCUAUUACUGUGGAAAGACACUAUGAACACAGCAACUCUUAUAAAGAAAAUAUUUAAUUGGGGUGGCUCAAAUACAGUUCAGAGGUUCAGUCCAUUAACAUCAUGACAGGGAGCAGGGUACCAUGUAGGCAGAUGUGCUAGAGAAAUAGCUGAGAGUCUUACAUCUUGUAGGCAAUAGGAAAUCAACUUGAGAGGACCAAGCAGAUACCAUAACAGGCCACUCAGUCUUCUCUUAGAGAUAUCAGGCCUCAAUUUCAGUUUCCUGAAGCUAGACAAACAGUUUCUAAAAUUUCCAAGGACAAAGGAUAAUCAAUCUCCAAUACCCCCAAUAGCAAGAAUGAGGAAAUCUGGUACACGCAGGCCAGAUCUGAGCCAUAGUCAGCAGAUAACCAAAUAAAGACAAAGCCUGGGACUUGUCCAGGCCUACCCCAAAAUGGAAAACUGUACUCUGACUAUCCUCUAAGUAUCCUUGGCCAAUUAGAUCGUACUCAUAUGAUUGCCACUUGAAUAAGCCAAUCACAUCUAAAAUGACCUAACUGCUGUAGGACCUCCCUUUGGCUGUGCUUCAAAGGAGCUCACACAUCCUUCUCGGGGUCUUCACCAUUUUGCCUUUGAGUGGAAUGACCAGCCCCAGUACGCUGGGAUAAUGAAUACACUUGUUGAUUGCAUACAUGGAUGGUGGUCCUUUGUGGGACUUCUCUAGGACCCUAACAAACUGAGACAGUAGGCUGUAUCCUGAGCAUAGGAAACCUGUAAGCCCUACCCCAGAGUGACACAGUUUCUCCAAACAAGGCCAUACUUACUCCAACAAAGCCAUACCUCCUAGUAGUGCCACUUCCUAUGAGAUAAUGGGGGCCAAUUCAAACUACCAUGAUUUGUGAUAAUAAUAGUUAAAUUUAGCAAAACUUUGCCCAAUUUUAUGCAUUCCAAUGGCAAAAAAAAAACAAGGCUCAAACAAGGAUAACUUACAUAAGUAACAGGCUUUUCAAAGUAGCCUAUCUAAUAGAAAUAUCAGGCAAACCUGGGGUCAUUUCAAAAUCUCUAGCAGCUGUAUUGUAAAAAAGUAAAAGCAACAAGAAAAAACAAUGAAACUUUUUAGUAAAAUACCUUAUUUAGACAUAAGUCCAAAUACAACUUCAACAUGUUAUCAAUAUUCAUACUAUCAAUGAGGUAGAUUUAUUUCUUUUCUCAUUUCAUUGUAUUUUUACAUAUAAGACUCUUUGAUUAAUAAUAGGAUAUUGAAGUACUAUUUGACCUGCAUAUAUAUUUCUUAUACUGUAUGGUUAUAAAUAAAAAUGUCUGUAAGUAGGUUGUAUAAACAAAUUAUCUUUUCCAAGUGCAGAAUAUCAUAUCUAUUUUUAGAUUUCAGUUGAAAAUUAGGAAUUAAGUCCUGGUGACAUCAGCCCACAUGUUAAGCACAGAAGCCACAUGUGGGUUGUGGCUUGCGGCAAGUGCGAAGUCCUAUAUUUGAGGAAUGGCAAUUAGAUUAUGGCUACUGGACAGUUCAGGAUGGCUAUUAUAUAGUUCAGGUCUUUGGGUUGGUGAUUAAAUGUGUCCAAACUUCCAGGACAUCUCAGGAAUUAAAUCACGAUAGCAUCAACUGACUUCAUUCAAUGUGGGUACUAUAAAUAUGUGACUCAUUCAGCUUUUCUAUGGAUUGAAGAUUUAUUACCUUUUGUAUUAGUUACUUUUAAGUUUCCAUGAUAAAGGUAACUUAUAGAAGGAAGGAUUUAUUUGAGUUUUCAGUUUUAGAGUGAUAUCUUGGUGGAGAGACACUGCAGUAUUUUCAGGUAUGAUGGCAGAAGCGGAACACUGAGAGCUCACAUCUUCUAACACAAGCUCACAGCAGAGAGAGCAAACAGGAAGUAGACAAGGGUUUUUAUUCUCAAAUAUCACCCCAAGUAACAUACCUCCUCCAGCAAACUGGCACAUCCUAAAUAUCCUCAAGCAGUGUCACCAACUAGGAUCAAGUGUUCAAAUAACUGAGCCUAUGGGAGAACAUUCUCAUUCAAACCACAGUAGUUUAGACCUGGAUAGACUUUUCUUCUCCUCCCAACUCAGUGGUAUUUUAACUACUUCUGGUGUCAUUUUAACAAUCCGAGUAGAUUUUUCUUAAAUGUUACCUGUUAUAUCAGUCAUAUGCUACUAUUGCACAGCUUUCAAUAGACUCACUCCCAACCGACAAUACUAUUUAAAGUGGUGUCACAAGUAUCCAAUCCUUUCUGCUCUUUCACAAUUCUGACCCUAAGCCUUUCACUACAAUGAACAAGACCCUUGUCUUCUCAAUAUAGUGAAGAGCAUAGAAUCUAAAAUCACUGAUGUACAUUUAUGUUUGGAGACUUGGCAUCUUUGUCCCUAAGAUAUCUUAUGUGAUUCUAUAAUGUAUUAAUAUUACCAAAAUUUAAUGUUCACUCAGUACACACUGUUGCUUAGAAUCCAGCCUUUUGAUAAAUAAUAAUUUUUGAAAGUUUUUCCUUGUAAUAGUUUUAACUAUAAUUUGAAAUUUGACUGUCAAUAUUUUUCUUCAACAGAGGCAAAAAGAUCACUUCCUUCAAAGCUGCUUGGGGAUUUCUCCUGGCAUCUGAAUAGGAUUUUUGUAGUGUCCUAGUUUGGUUUCUAUUGCUGUGAUAAAGGCCAUGACCAAGAGUUGGUUGAGGAAGAAAAGGUUUGCUUAGCUUAUACUUCUCCAUCACAAUUCAUCAAUUAGGGACGUCAGGCAGGAACUCAAGGCAGGAGUCUGGAGUCAAGAACUGAAACAGAGAUCAUGGAGGAAUACUGCUUACUGGCUUGCUCCCCAUGAAACUCUCAGUCUUCUUUCUGAUACAACCCAGGACAAUCCACCCAGGAAUGGCACUACCCUCAUGGCCUGUGCUCUACCCCAUCAAUCAUUAAUCAAAACAAUACCCAAAAGAUCCGCCUAUAGGCCAAUCUGUUGAGAUUCCCUCUUGACAGACAAGUGUAGAUUUGUGCCUAUUUGGCAAAAACUAACCAUCACAGGCUGAUGGUAUGUUUUACCAGUUAGUAUAAAACAGAUAAUUAAAGGAGUCUGACGAUGUGUCAGUUCAGAUUUCUUGUUUAAAGUGUUUUGUUUGUUUCCAUCUAUGAUUUUUUUCUUCCUAUUUUGUAAUCAGUUGGACUAUUCCCUUGAGGGCCUAUUCAUACCUAUAUUUAGAAAUUGAAGAAGCAAACGUUAAAAAAUACAAAUCACUGUUGGUUCUUAUGCUGUAUGGUCUUUGGAAAUCAAACAUUGAAAAAUACUGGACCAGUUUCAGGUUUUCUAUAGACAUUUUGACUCAAACCUGACAUAGUAUUGUAUCUAUAUUAAGACAGCACGGGACUUCUGCUUUCUAUUUAAAAAUUCCUACCUGCCCAUAUGUUUUAAAAUUGAAACAUUUAAAAGGUAACAUUUCUAAAGUUAUUUUAGGAAGACGUUCAUUUCAUUUGUAAAUAAUGUUGAAAUAAAUCAUAUUGCAUUUGCAACUUUAGUUGUUUCCAUAAUUCUAAUGCAAUUCCAUUUAGCAUGAUUUACAUAGUUACUUAUAAUAUGUAUAUCCUUAUUUAAAUCUCAUUAUGUUUUUAAUUGUUUGUAUUUGUCAAAUGCACAGUUUUUCUGCAUAUGUUAAAACUGCAAUUUUUGCCAAGUGAAAGGCAAAUAAAGAGAAUGAAAUAUAUUAAUUACAAAGAGAGAAUUAAUAUGCAUGUCUGCACAAUAUAUAAUUAUCUAUGGACUUACAACCCUUCAUUGAACAGUCUGCUUUAUAUUUUAAUAGAUUCUCUUUUCUACCUUUUGAGAAAAGGAUUUUCCAUAAUGAAAAUUAAAAUCCUGAGAGAUAAGAUUCAGGACUGUAGCACUCAUAAUAUAUUAAAAAAACAUCACUCUUGUAUUCCACCCAGUCUUUCUUCCCCUCUCCUAUAAGUUGUGAUAGAAAAAUAUAAAAUGACUGAUUGCAACUAAUCACCUUACAUCUUUGCCAAGCUCAAAGCCUGCCUCCACAGCUGCCUAUCUUAUUUAUUUGCUUACUUUAAAUCACUGGCAGCAUUUCUUCCUCAUAAGAUAAUCUUUCUUCUAAUAACCUGGAUCUUGAACAUACCUGAGGAGACGUGACAACCUCUUUCAUAUCUUGCCCUAGUUUAUUGUUUGUUGUUUCUACUGUCUGAAACAUUGUUCUACUUUUACUUUUUGAAAGUCUGUCCCUUUUUACUACUACUUAUGUUUCAAUUUACUAUCUCAGAUGUUUUCUCUACAAACCCCACUUAAUUGUAUGUUAAAGUUUCGCUCCAUUCCUUGCUCCAACCCCGUUUAUCUUUCUCUAUCACAGAAUUCAGUUUCCCCCUUCAUAGUCAUGCAGCAGAAUUUGUUUGUUAAUUAUUUAUCACAUUAUCCAGAAGAUAGGCUUUAAAGACACAGAAACCACAUCAACUUUUUUUUACCUUCUUUCUCUAGCUCUUGACACAAGCCAUGGUCAAGGGUAAUUUCUUAAUAAGUAUUUAUUGAUCACAAAUGAUUUCUUUCAGCUUUAGGUAUUUUGAUGUGCUACAGCCUAGUAAUUUUCCUUUGUAAGAAUACGUAAGUACUUCUAGUUAUUUUCUAUUGCAAACAACACUUCAUAAGAUAUUUUCUAUGACUGUAUCUGUGUAUUUGUGCUAUACUCACUGAAAGAACAGCUAGUUGGUGUGGGGUAGAUGCAUCAUGCCAUUAGAUAUUGCAUUUUGUACAUGACUAAAUUGGGUAUCAGACUCUGAGCAUUGAUUAUGUCGAUUCAGUAUAAGGAAAACAUCUCUAUUUUUCCCUGGUCUAAUCUUCUUCUUAGGGCUAUGUCUUCACAGGGCUGUUGGAUUUUUUCCAGGCCUAUGUAAGGACAAAUCACCCACCAGAGAAAUUCAUUCCAUGGGAAAAAUCAGUCCAUCUAUAGUAUCUGAGGUCCUCGGGACCACACCAUGGAGUAAGAUCCAGGUCUCUAGGAGGUCCACUGGCAGGAUGGCCAAAGGACAUACUCGGUAGAACAUUAGUGAAAAACAAGCUGUGAUUAUUAACAUUAAAAUAUGACUGAAACCCAAAUAUACAUAGAACAACAAGAAGUUUUCUCUUAAGUAGCAAUGGUGUCCCUUCAUCCCACUUUGAAAGUAAACCUGGAGAGAGGCCUAGACAAUAAGCUGGCUUAAAUAUCAUCACAAAUCCAAAGACUCAUUCAUUGGUCAUUUCUAUAAUUCUGAGUGUCCUGAUUAAUUUUAUGUCAACUUGCCUCAAGCUAGAGUCAUCAGAUAGGAGAAAACAUUGAUAGAGAAAAUGCAUUUAUAAGAUCAUGCUGUGGUCAAGCCUGUGGGGAAAUUUCUUACUUAGUGAUGAUAUAACAGUGCUCAACCCAUAGUGGGUGAGACAACCUCUAGGCUGGUGGUUCUAGCUUAUAUAAGGAAGCAAACUGAGCAAGUCCUGUUGAGCAAGCAGUACUCCUCCAUAGACUCUGCAUCAGCUCCUGCCUCCAGGUUCCUGCCCUGUUUGGGUUCCUGCCUUGACUUCCUUCAGUGAUACAUUGUGAUGUGGAAGUGUAAGUCAAAUAAACCCAUCCCUCCCCAUCUUGCUUUUGGUCAUGGUGUUUCAUCACAGCAAUAGAAGCCCUAACUAAGACACCGAGGUGGUAAGUGAUGCUUUUGGCAGGUGGAACAAUGAGUCUAUACCAUGUUGAAUAGAGGCUGUCAUUCUGCCAGUUGGGGAGAAAUUAUUGCCACUAUUUAGGACCAGAGAAGUGCAGUGAUGAUUGUUCUUAACAAACUUCUGGUUACUUUUAUAGUUUUCUCCCAGGGAAACCUCAUCCUGAAGAAUGGUUAUAGACUACUGCAUAGUUAGCCAAGUGUUGAUCUACAUCCUGACUGUUAUGGCUUAAAUUGUAUCAUUGCUAGAGCAUACUGCUGAGGCAUAUAGCCAGUGAUUUGUCAAAAUGCAUUCAUCUCCAUUCCACUUGGAAAAGCAAAUUAAAAAUAGCUUAUAUUUUAAAAAGCUUAUAUUAGGGAGAAAUUCUACAUGAAACAUUAACAUCACACCCUCUCAUCUUAAGGCUCAGGAAUCAUUGGAGACAAGGGAGUGGAAAGAUUCUAAGAGCCAGAGGUUGCGGAGCAUUUCUGCAAAAGUGUUUUCUGAAUAGGACAUGGUGGUUACUUGAAAGAACAUGCAGGAACUGUGGCUGCAAGUAUAAGACCUUUCCAUGAUUAAGCUGGCUGCAUUUGGAGCAUGAAUGUGGGAGCAGCCCAACGAGUCCCAUCUAGAGGUGAGGAGAUUUUGACAGUUGAUAGGCACUAGGGAAGGGAGAGUCAGUUUUCUUGAGUGAAACAGCCACUGAUAAAUUACUCAUGUUUCUUCCGGUAGAUGGGUCUGCAGCCACACACAUACCAGAAGCACUGAAUGAACUCAGUGUUAAAAAAUGUAUUCAUGAAGUUGGGAUGGAGAAGUAUUACGGGUAGUGACAGGAGUUGGAAGGGAGGGAGUUGUGAGUGGGUUUGAUCAAAACAUGUUGUAUAUAUGUAUAUAAAAUUCUGAAACAAAAACAGCUUAUAUUUUGUGGGGAAAAUGAUAUUUUUAGCAUUUCUGAAUCUAGGAUAAGUUAACUGCUUCCUCUUUCCUAAUUUAAUCUAAAGAUAUCAGAACUUCAAGUGUCCCCCACACAAUGCCACAAAAAUCCAUUACAACAGUGACAUUAUUUUGAAUGUACAAGGUAAGCAAGGUGUGACCAGUGUGCUUGAAGUCCUUAGACAUCUGACCUCUUAGGUAAGGAGAUAAACAGAAUAAAAUUUUAAGGACCAGUAUCUCUUGUAAAAUUUAUGGUAGAAAUGUCCUGAGACAUCUCCUGCAAAGUAAAAAAGAAAUCAUAAAUCUUGAAUCCUUUAUAACAAACUAAGAAGUGACAGACAUAGUGGACUUUUUUCAGGGAUAAGGGAAUUCCAGAUACAGCAUAUUCCAUGUUUAGGACUACCAUCUUGUUGUAAUAGUAGACAAUAUGGAAAAUGCCCAAUAUGAUGUUAAGCAAGGGCCAGGAAAUAGCUCUGCAGAAUUUAUAGGCUGAUAUUUAACAGCCUGCCACUUCGGUUACAUAAUUUAACAGACUCUGUACUGUUUUUGGAGUUUUAUAGGUAGAAAAAGAAACAAGAUAGAGAUCACACCAGUCCUUAUUAAUUUUAUAGGUCACUAAAUAUUUUAACAAAACCAUGCUUUCUGUAGAGAUCAGACAGAUGCUACAUAGGUAGGUAGAAUAUGGUAGAUGCUUGAUAGAUAGAUGAUAGAUAGAUAGGUGGAUAGAUGGAUACAUAGAUGGAUAGAUGGAUGGAUGGAUAGACAGACAGACAGACAGAUUGAUAGAAAGAUAAGAUAGAUGGUAGAACAUUGCUUGAAAAUAGAUAGAAUAACCUAUCUCAGAGUAAACAUAUUAGGACAAGGAAUCUAGAAACAGGUACUAUAAGCUUGACUCUGUCAGAAUCUCCAAACUAAAGUCUUAGGUAUGCAACAUAUGCCCCUUGCACAGAAAGUGGUACAUUUGUACUAAGCCUGAGAACGGUCAUAUGUACAAGUAGAUGCAUCAGCAGGUAGCAUCACCCACGCCAUCCACUAUAAUUACAGAGUGUGCCUUCUUCUAUCCUUGCCUAUGUGAGGUCUCCAAAAACAGCUUAGUAUGCAAGCAAAACUUGAACUAGGUGCCUUGUAGGAGCUUAGCAGAUGGGAAGUGAAUAAGAGAUUUAUUUAAACUUUUGCUCUUAUGUAUAUACUUGAUUAUUAUCUCUAUUUUGUGACUGAAGAAACCAAUAUAAAAUGAAUUAAAUAAAACUGAUUUUCCCAUAAGUUAUGAAAGAAGGCCCUAAAGUGUUCUGCCUCGGAUGAUACUGUGCUUUUUCUGUCACUAUCUUGGGUUUUCAUGCUUUCCAUAGACUAUGUUCUUUAUUUUGGAAGGAGACUUGAGUUCAUUAUUAGAAAUUAAAUUGUAACAGCUUAUUAUUUCCCAUUUAAAACACUUAAGAUCCCUUGUUCCAUUUACUAACCUAAAAACGGGUAUACACAUAUGUUGAGUCAUUUUGUACAAUUACUUGCAAAAAAAUGGAUAGAGAUAGGGAGGGCAUGUGAAUUUAUGCAUGGUAAUGAAACCUUAAAAUAAAAUGUUUCCAUGCACAACUCCCAGUCUUGUUGGAUAACUUUACUUGAUUGAAAAUUACUUGAGAAAGAUGAAAUCAUAAAUUACCUUAAAUUUACUGAAAGCCUGUGAACCACCUAUAUUAAGUGUUAAGCUGAUGAAGCACCAACCUGAAUGGAAAGAUUUCAUUAGAAACAGCAUGGACUACAUUUUCUAAAAGGGGGCUGACAUAUAACAGUACCACUGGGUACAAUUCUGGAUAAUAUUGUGUAUUUAUAAUAUGGUGAUAAUUGUUUGCCUUACCAUUCACAGCUUCUGUUUGUUUUACUCCUAUCCAUGACUAUUUAUAGACACUAUUCAUACUUUUUAUACUAUUGUUAAUGUAUUUAUUUACUUAUUAUUUCAUUCAACAAUGAAGUUAUUAAAUCAGCCAUUAUAUAUUCAAAUUAUUCUUACACUCAUUACUGAUCAUAUGUGAAAAUAUUAUCAUUAAGUUAUGACAGUGUAGCAUUCGACAAAUGAAGAAAAUGAGCAAAUACAAGGUACGUGAUGUUGGGAUUAAUAUCAGGAAGUAUGAGUCUAAAAGGCAUGUGAUUUUUUAAAAUAAAAAUAUUAAAUUAUGUGUAUGUGUUUGUGGGGUGGCAUGUGCAUAUGUGAGUGUGGUUGCCUGCAGAGGCCAUGAGAGAAGGUAAUUACCCCCCAGAACUGGAGAUCUAGGCAGUUGAGUGGCGAACUGCCCAAUGUAGGUGCUGAGAAUGGAGCUCUGGUCCUCUGUAAGAGCAGUACUCACUAUUAAGCACUUAACCAUCCCUUUAGCCUCUGGAUUGCAUAUCUUUAACCAUUGUGUCUUUCCUCAUAAAUUCAUACUAUAAUGUCUCUCUCCACUUCUCUGACCUCAAACACAUCUGUAUUCCCAACAGGAAAGCUCAAAAGACAUCCUUUUCCAAACUCCUCCCAAAUCUGCCUUCCAUAUCAAACUAAACUGGUGCCCAUGCUUGGUUUUUGUUUUUGUUUUUGUUUUUAUUUUAAACCCAUUCAGUCCAAUUUGUGUGGCUAUAUACUCUUGGGUCUGUGAGCAUACUAGAGUUUGGUUGAACGACCAGGGGCAAUACCCUUAAAGAAAACUGAAUUUCCCUCUCCCAGCACCUAUCAAUUGCCAAUAAAUCUUCAGUCAGUGGUUAAGCUUCACCCAGUUUCCCUUUCCAUGGUGAAAUGUUGUCUGGUUUCAGCUUGCACUGCUCUUAUGCGUGCUAUCAAUACUACUGUGAGUGAAUAUGUGCAACUUCUCAGUUGGACAUGGAAACACUGUUUCCUUAUGUUCUCAGCUACCUCUGGCUCUUAAAAUCUUACAACAUCUCUUUCACAAUGGUCCCCGUGCCUUGGGAAGAUAAAGUUUUGAUACAGAUGUCCCAUUUCUAGCUGAGCAUCCUGCAGUUUCUUUUUCUCUGAACCCUUACUAGUUGUGGGUAUCUUUGUUAAACCAUCAUUUUGGUUAGUUUUUGUCCACAUGAAACAGAUCUAGAAAUAACUGGGAAGAGAGAAUCUUAGUUGAGGAACUGAUUCUGCAGGUUGUCCUGUGGGCAUGUUUGGGGGGCAUUUUCUUGAUUGAUGAGUGAUGUAGGAGGACCCACCCCACCAUGCACAGCACCACACCUGGGUUGUAUAAGAUGGCAUACUAAGAAAGCUAUGGGUAUCAAGACAGUAAGCAGAAUUUCUCUAUGGUCUAUGUUUAGUUCCUGACUGGGUUUCUCUUGAUAACUGAUUGAAAUCUGUAACUCAAACAAUUUUCUCCCAAAAGUUAUUUUUGGUCAGCCUUUUAUCAUAGCAACAAAAGAAAAGUGUGAUAGUUACCAUCUACUACAGGUAGAAACUUCUCUGGUGAGUGUUAGGAGGUACAUUAAUGAAUGGGUAUAAUAAGAAAUCAGGAUUCGAUUUUAUAUUAUGUCUUAUUAACAGAGUACAAGCAAUAGGUUGUCCCCUAAAGGCCUAUGGGCUGUCUGUCCAUAGGUAUUGGCCCCUGUAAUAUUGUCAGGUAUAGAUUUCAUGUUGUUAAGUGACUUUAAUCAGAGUGGUUAGUUACUUUUAUAAUGCCCAGCCACUAUAGCACCAAUAUCCCUGUCUCCCCAGGAUAGUUGUUAUUGUAGCUCAUAAAGUUGACAGCUGGGUAAAACUGAUAAUUAUGUUUCCCCUCUUGUAGUGUUCCUAGUGCCUUCUAUCUCUAUGAAAGCUAUCCAGUAGGGAGGAAGGUUCUGGAUCAGUAUCAGCCUUAUUUCUCAAUGUUCUAUGACUCAAGUAUGUGAUGUCUUCAGUAACAGGGUAUUACUGACAAGUUCUGGAGGGUAAACAGAAGCAUACAAUGAUUGAGGUCUGUGAGCCUUCACUGGUCAACAAUGGCAAAAGAAGUUAUCCAUUCCUGACACUGGACUAAACAUUUAUUGGUUAGCGUGUGGUGUCUAAUAGGUGUAUUGUCACCCUGUAUAGGAUAACUCCAUUUCAGUUCUUGUGUGUGUGUGUGUGUGUGUGUGUGUGUGUGUGUGUGUGUGUGUGUGUGUUUUAGGAAGCUUCUACAGUAGUAGGUUCUGAUAUGACUUUUUCAAACUGUCUCAGAGUUAGUUGUUUCUCCUCAUAGCGCCCCUCUUUAUUACCAUCUCCUACCUAAUUCAACCCUUCAUGUUCUCUUAUUGUCUUUUACCCUUUAUUACAGCUACAUUUUUGUUUUUAUGGAAAUUACUUAAAAAUACAGGAAACACUAUUUUAAAAUAUUUAUUUUGUCACAAAUUAUUUCUAAAGCAUCUGAUAGGUGUUGCGACUAAGCUAAUUGCUGUAGAAUAUGAUAUUCUAGAUAUGAUAAAAAUUAUCAAAAAUGUGUGAUUCAGUCAUGGCAAUACAAAUUAAGUGAAAUUGUGAACAAAUAAUUAACACACAGCAAGAUUAUUUUAAGUAAAGAUGUAAACAUGAUAUUGCUGGUUUAUAUUGGUAAGGAUCUCUUGUUAUGCAUAAAGGUUUAUGUUGUUAUAAAAUUAUCUGUACUUUUCAGAGAUGUGGAUAUUAUAUGUCUAAG
This is a long non-coding RNA of Peromyscus californicus insignis, 16708 nucleotides long. RefSeq lists it as uncharacterized. The transcript has 6 exons. Lineage: Eukaryota; Metazoa; Chordata; Mammalia; Rodentia; Cricetidae. The record is from RefSeq and is a predicted model, not a curated record.